UUGGCUCAGGACGAACGCUGGCGGCGUGCCUAAUACAUGCAAGUUGAGCGCUGAAGGUUGGUACUUGUACCGACUGGAUGAGCAGCGAACGGGUGAGUAACGCGUGGGGAAUCUGCCUUUGAGCGGGGGACAACAUUUGGAAACGAAUGCUAAUACCGCAUAAAAACUUUAAACACAAGUUUUAAGUUUGAAAGAUGCAAUUGCAUCACUCAAAGAUGAUCCCGCGUUGUAUUAGCUAGUUGGUGAGGUAAAGGCUCACCAAGGCGAUGAUACAUAGCCGACCUGAGAGGGUGAUCGGCCACAUUGGGACUGAGACACGGCCCAAACUCCUACGGGAGGCAGCAGUAGGAG
RNAcentral lists this ribosomal RNA (351 nucleotides) under Lactococcus lactis subsp. lactis bv. diacetylactis. RNAcentral's name for it is "bacterial SSU rRNA". It matches the Rfam family "Bacterial small subunit ribosomal RNA", at positions 19 to 360 of the family's 1533-position model. Lineage: Bacteria; Bacillati; Bacillota; Bacilli; Lactobacillales; Streptococcaceae. The record is from RNAcentral.